Molecule: ribosomal RNA, 484 nt
Filed under: uncultured bacterium
Lineage: Bacteria
Description: partial 16S ribosomal RNA
Rfam family: Bacterial small subunit ribosomal RNA
Source: RNAcentral
AUUGAACGCUGGCGGCAGGCCUAACACAUGCAAGUCGAGCGGAUGAAGGGAGCUUGCUCCUGGUUUCAGCGGCGGACGGGUGAGUAAUGCCUAGGAAUCUGCCUGGUAGUGGGGGAUAAUGUCCGGAAACGGGCGCUAAUACCGCAUACGUCCUGAGGGAGCAAGUGGGGGAUCUUCGGACCUCACGCUAUCAGAUGAGCCUAGGUCGGAUUAGCUAGUUGGUGGGGUAAAGGCCUACUAAGGCGACGAUCCGUAACUGGUCUGAGAGGAUGAUCAGUCACACGAGAACGUGAACAGGGUCCAGGCUCCUACGGGAGGGAGCAGUGGGGAAUAUUGGACAAUGGGCGAAAGCCUGGUCCAGCCGGGCCGCGUGUGUGAAGAAGAUCUUCGGAUUGUAAAGCACUUUAAGUUGGGAGGAAGGGCAGUAAGUUAAUACCUUGCUGUUUUGACGUUACCAACAGAAGAAGCACCGGCUAACUUCGUG